This 221-nucleotide long non-coding RNA is filed under the name Gossypium barbadense (sea-island cotton). Its description in RNAcentral is "long non-coding RNA (GBAR_LNC001323)". Lineage: Eukaryota; Viridiplantae; Streptophyta; Magnoliopsida; Malvales; Malvaceae. The record is from RNAcentral.
UAGAAUGUAAGUUUUAUGGAUGUGACAUGCAUACAUAUGAUAUUCUGCUUAGGUUGCAUAUGGGUGGGAAUUAUGGAACGGAGGAAGUAUAUGAGGAUCACAUGGUUGCUUGACAAUCAUGGAUUCACCGACGGCUUUUAAAGCCCAAUAUGUAAACGAAGAUAGUUCCGCAACCGGGCUACCAUAGUGUGUGGGCUGGGUAGGUUGAUAUUCAUAUCCCC